GGGCCCUAGAGACACAACUCCACGCACGCUUUUGGAAGUGGAUCAAAUUCAGAAGCUCAUCCCUCGCGUCAUCAUCAGGAACGAAGAGAGUGUAAAUUCAUCCACCCGGAUGUCCAGACCCUGCUGAAACAUUAUCUCCUGAGACACUGAGGGGGUCAUCAAGGUGACGGCGAUAGCAGAACAUAGGAGGAGAGUGGCCUUGGAAGGAUUGCCCAUUUACCUCAAGGAGGAUGCAUCAAAUCUUUUCAAGACAUGUCUGGACACAGAUGAAGAGGAGGAUUACACCAAAGGUGUAAAAAUUGCCAUACUGACAGUCUUUGAGGAUGAUGUAGCAUCCGUUACGUCCCUACCUACGGUCAUCAACAUUGGCGUGAUUUUGGAAGAGAGUGUCAUCGUUCAGGGCAUAAAGGACCUUCCUUCAGCAGUCGCAUACUUGUUUGGCCUGCUGUAUUGCAUCAACAUGGAAUACCCCAAAAACCUGAGAUACACUUUUGAGGUUUUACAGAAAGUUUUCCUUGACAUGGGAGCACACUGCUGCUCUGCACGAGCUCAAUCACUCCGAGGUAAAAUGCAGAAAUGUCUGCGCUAAUGUGGCAAGUCCAUUUCUCUCUCUCUCUCUCGGAGCUGCAAGUCAGGUGAGGGCAAGAGGCGGAAAAGUUUGUUGAACAGUUAAUUGAUUGUUUUAUACGGAUUUUUACUUGUUAAUUGUUUAAGGGCUUAAGGUUUAUUUACUAAAUACUACAGGUCACACC
Molecule: long non-coding RNA, 752 nt
Organism: Neoarius graeffei (lesser salmon catfish)
Lineage: Eukaryota; Metazoa; Chordata; Actinopteri; Siluriformes; Ariidae
Exons: 4
Source: RefSeq, a predicted model, not a curated record